UGGGGAAUUUUGGACAAUGGGCGCAAGCCUGAUCCAGCCAUUCCGCGUGAGUGAAGAAGGCCUUCGGGUUGUAAAGCUCUUUCGCAAGGGAAGAAAACUUACUUUUUAAUAAAGAGUGAGGUUGACGGUACCUUGAUAAGAAGCACCGGCUAACUACGUGCCAGCAGCCGCGGUAAUACGUAGGGUGCGAGCGUUAAUCGGAAUUACUGGGCGUAAAGCGUGCGCAGGCGGUUUUGUAAGUCAGAUGUGAAAUCCCCGAGCUCAACUUGGGAACUGCGUUUGAAACUACAAGACUAGAAUAUGUCAGAGGGGGGUAGAAUUCCACGUGUAGCAGUGAAAUGCGUAGAGAUGUGGAGGAAUACCAAUGGCGAAGGCAGCCCCCUGGGAUAACACUGACGCUCAUGCACGAAAGCGUGGGGAGCAAACAGG
Molecule: ribosomal RNA, 429 nt
Filed under: uncultured bacterium
Lineage: Bacteria
Description: bacterial SSU rRNA
Rfam family: Bacterial small subunit ribosomal RNA
Source: RNAcentral